GAUGGCCAUAUCACGUUGAAACACCGGUUCCGGUCCGAUCACCGAAGUUAAGCAAUAUGGAGCCUGGUCAGUAACUAGAAGGGUGACCUCUUGGAAAUACCAGGUGCUACAAG
This is a non-coding RNA of Acanthosepion pharaonis, 113 nucleotides long. Lineage: Eukaryota; Metazoa; Mollusca; Cephalopoda; Sepiida; Sepiidae. The record is from the annotation of a GenBank genome assembly.